GUGGGGAGCAAACAGGAUUAGAUACCCUGGUAGUCCACGCCGUAAACGAUGUCGACUUGGAGGUUGUGCCCUUGAGGCGUGGCUUCCGGAGCUAACGCGUUAAGUCGACCGCCUGGGGAGUACGGCCGCAAGGUUAAAACUCAAAUGAAUUGACGGGGGCCCGCACAAGCGGUGGAGCAUGUGGUUUAAUUCGAUGCAACGCGAAGAACCUUACCUGGUCUUGACAUCCACGGAACUUUCCAGAGAUGAGAAUGUGCCUUCGGGAACCGUGAGACAGGUGCUGCAUGGCUGUCGUCAGCUCGUGUUGUGAAAUGUUGGGUUAAGUCCCGCAACGAGCGCAACCCUUAUCCUUUGUUGCCAGCGGUCCGGCCGGGAACUCAAAGGAGACUGCCAGUGAUAAACUGGAGGAAGGUGGGGAUGACGUCAAGUCAUCAUGGCCCUUACGACCAGGGCUACACACGUGCUACAAUGGCGCAUACAAAGAGAAGCGACCUCGCGAGAGCAAGCGGACCUCAUAAAGUGCGUCGUAGUCCGGAUUGGAGUCUGCAACUCGACUCCAUGAAGUCGGAAUCGCUAGUAAUCGUGGAUCAGAAUGCCACGGUGAAUACGUUCCCGGGCCUUGUACACACCGCCCGUCACACCAUGGGAGUGGGUUGCAAAAGAAGUAGGUAGCUUAACCUUCG
This 683-nucleotide ribosomal RNA is filed under the name Escherichia sp. RNAcentral's name for it is "bacterial SSU rRNA". It matches the Rfam family "Bacterial small subunit ribosomal RNA", at positions 761 to 1444 of the family's 1533-position model. Lineage: Bacteria; Pseudomonadati; Pseudomonadota; Gammaproteobacteria; Enterobacterales; Enterobacteriaceae. The record is from RNAcentral.